GGGGUUGACUGGAUUUGACAGCAGGCCGAGAUGGUACGUAAGCAUGCGGAGUGACGGCUGUAAACUCCAUAAUCCAUUCGGUCGAACAAUUAAUUGGCGAAACAAAGUACGCUCUCGCUGCCUAAUCGAAGUACAGUAGAUUACUGGCUUUAUCGUUCUACAAGGUAGGACGACGAGACAUCGCUCUUUCGGAUGUGGUUCCGAGUCAGAAAGGUAUAGCGGUGCAGGUAAUUCGGAGAUAGUCCAUCGGGCGUCCCGACUGGUGGAUGAAAAUUAGGGAAUAAGGCUGUGAUUGGUGGCUUGGGUCUUGUCACAGCACGAAAAUGAAGGCCAAGAUAAGCAUGUAGAAAGCGUAUGGUUUCCCUGUUUGGACGAGGGUUCGAUUCCCUCCAGCUCCACA
Molecule: transfer-messenger RNA, 400 nt
Filed under: uncultured Prevotella sp.
Lineage: Bacteria; Pseudomonadati; Bacteroidota; Bacteroidia; Bacteroidales; Prevotellaceae
Rfam family: transfer-messenger RNA
About the family: Bacterial tmRNA, also known as 10Sa RNA or SsrA, is named for its dual tRNA and mRNA-like properties. Its role is to liberate the mRNA from a stalled ribosome.
Source: RNAcentral